UACGUAGGGCGCAAGCGUUAUCCGGAAUUAUUGGGCGUAAAGAGCUCGUAGGCGGUUUGUCGCGUCGAAUGUGAAAACCCGGGGCUCAACUCCGGGCCUGCAUUCGAUACGGGCAGACUAGAGUGCAGUAGGGGAGACUGGAAUUCCUGGUGUAGCGGUGAAAUGCGCAGAUAUCAGGAGGAACACCGAUGGCGAAGGCAGGUCUCUGGGCUGUAACUGACGCUGAGGAGCGAAAGCAUGGGGAGCGAACAGG
RNAcentral lists this ribosomal RNA (253 nucleotides) under uncultured bacterium. RNAcentral describes it as "partial 16S ribosomal RNA". It matches the Rfam family "Bacterial small subunit ribosomal RNA", at positions 524 to 776 of the family's 1533-position model. The record is from RNAcentral.